AUUCCGUGAUGAGGGUACUUCUGAAAUAAUUCUUUAUACCUUUCCUGUGCCUCAUACAUGGACUCAUCAUCCAUUUGUUGGAAGGCAGUGAUCUCAUUUCUCAACUU
This is a small nucleolar RNA of Gossypium arboreum, 107 nucleotides long. Lineage: Eukaryota; Viridiplantae; Streptophyta; Magnoliopsida; Malvales; Malvaceae. The record is from RefSeq and is a predicted model, not a curated record.